Molecule: ribosomal RNA, 467 nt
Filed under: uncultured bacterium
Lineage: Bacteria
Description: partial 16S ribosomal RNA
Rfam family: Bacterial small subunit ribosomal RNA
Source: RNAcentral
GACGAACGCUGGCGGCGUGCUUAACACAUGCAAGUCGAACGGAAAGGCCCUGCUUUUGUGGGGUGCUCGAGUGGCGAACGGGUGAGUAACACGUGAGUAACCUGCCCUUGACUUUGGGAUAACUUCAGGAAACUGGGGCUAAUACCGGAUAGGAGCUCCUGCUGCAUGGUGGGGGUUGGAAAGUUUCGGCGGUUGGGGAUGGACUCGCGGCUUAUCAGCUUGUUGGUGGGGUAGUGGCUUACCAAGGCUUUGACGGGUAGCCGGCCUGAGAGGGUGACCGGCCACAUUGGGACUGAGAUACGGCCCAGACUCCUACGGGAGGCAGCAGUGGGGAAUAUUGCACAAUGGGCGGAAGCCUGAUGCAGCAACGCCGCGUGCGGGAUGACGGCCUUCGGGUUGUAAACCGCUUUCGCCUGUGACGAAGCGUGAGUGACGGGAAUGGGGAAAGAAGCACCGGCGAACUACGG